AGUGAACGCUGGCGGUAGGCCUAACACAUGCAAGUCGAACGGCAGCACAGGAGAGCUUGCUCUCUGGGUGGCGAGUGGCGGACGGGUGAGGAAUACAUCGGAAUCUACUUUUUCGUGGGGGAUAACGUAGGGAAACUUACGCUAAUACCGCAUACGACCUACGGGUGAAAGCAGGGGAUCUUCGGACCUUGCGCGAUUGAAUGAGCCGAUGUCGGAUUAGCGAGUUGGCGGGGUAAAGGCCCACCAAGGCGACGAUCCGUAGCUGGUCUGAGAGGAUGAUCAGCCAGACUGGAACUGAGACACGGUCCAGACUCCUACGGGAGGCAGCAGUGGGGAAUAUUGGACAAUGGGCGUAAGCCUGAUCCAGCCAUACCGCGUGGGUGAAGAAGGCCUUCGGGUUGUAAAGCCCUUUUGUUGGGAAAGAAAUCCAGCUGGUUAAUACCCGGUUGGGAUGACGGUACCCAAAGAGUAAGCACCGGCUAACUUCGUGCCAGCCGCCGCGGUAA
RNAcentral lists this ribosomal RNA (506 nucleotides) under uncultured bacterium. RNAcentral's name for it is "partial 16S ribosomal RNA". It matches the Rfam family "Bacterial small subunit ribosomal RNA", at positions 29 to 523 of the family's 1533-position model. The record is from RNAcentral.